Oxyura jamaicensis (ruddy duck) is the source of this 826-nucleotide long non-coding RNA. RefSeq lists it as uncharacterized. NCBI's taxonomy places the organism in Eukaryota, Metazoa, Chordata, Aves, Anseriformes, Anatidae. The transcript has 2 exons. The record is from RefSeq and is a predicted model, not a curated record.
GGCAGGCUGUAUAUUGCUUUAUGGCUGUUGACUUGAUUUAAAAUGCACUCUUAAAAAUGAAAGAAUAACUCCUUAAAUUUGCAGUAAAUGUAUAGUUCCACAGAUCUGAUUUACUGGUUAUGAGCCACCAAAGAAUUGCAAUUGCAUUUUAUUGUAUUGUUGACUCUAGUAGCGAAAGCCUCAGCAUCACUGUAGCUCUGGAAACCAUGAAAAACCUGAUCGUUUUAGAUUAAUCAUUUAUUUCAGGGGAUAACGACGAUCGCUUUGAUGGUGACUGUUUAAACCAACGUGUGAGAUCAAAGGCAUGCAGUUGGCUUGUGCUUUGCUCAGUUCAGAGCUUUUUAGCCUUGGUUGACUCAUAAUUGCAAAAAUUCCCAGCUGGCUGGAAGUGGAAGGAACUUGCUGCAGAGCACCAGGCACGGCACGAGGUGCAGAGACCUGCCUGGGCUGCAGGACACCGAGCAGCAGCCGAGAGCAUGCAGCAGAGCAGCAAGAAAUCCAUCUGCUUGCACAGAGCUCCUCACUUUGAGCCCACUGUCCUAAUUUCCCUCGCACCCUUGUCAGCAGUGAACGUGCCACUCAGUUGCGCAGCACAAGUGUGAGGCACAGCCUGAGCACCGGCACCAGCUCCCACCACCACCGCGAGAACCGACAGAGGCAAAACAUGCUGCAGGUUGCGGGUGGUGCAGCUGAACCGCUCUGGCUCUGUUCUCCUGAAGGCACAAACAAAGGCAAAUCACAUGCAGCAUUGUCUCACACGCAGCCGCUGAUACACAGGCACACGAAUUCAUUUCUCUGCCCCCUGCUCCCGCAGCACCACUUGCUG